This 253-nucleotide ribosomal RNA is filed under the name uncultured bacterium. RNAcentral describes it as "partial 16S ribosomal RNA". It matches the Rfam family "Bacterial small subunit ribosomal RNA", at positions 524 to 776 of the family's 1533-position model. The record is from RNAcentral.
UACGUAGGGUGCAAGCGUUGUCCGGAAUUAUUGGGCGUAAAGAGCUCGUAGGUGGCUUGUCACGUCGGGUGUGAAAGCUUGGGGCUUAACUCCAGGUCUGCAUUCGAUACGGGCUGGCUAGAGGUAGGUAGGGGAGAACGGAAUUCCUGGUGUAGCGGUGAAAUGCGCAGAUAUCAGGAGGAACACCGGUGGCGAAGGCGGUUCUCUGGGCCUUACCUGACGCUGAGGAGCGAAAGCGUGGGGAGCGAACAGG